CAAUAGCGUAUAUUAAAGUUGUUGCAGUUAAAAAGCUCGUAGUUGGAUUUCUGGUAGGAGCGACCGUGCCGAACUUGAUUGUUCGAGUAUUGUGUUGUCUUCAGCCAUCCUCGUGGAGAACUUUUCUAACAUUAACUUGUUGGGAUUGGGACCCGCGUCGUUUACUGUGAAAAAAUUAGAGUGUUUAAAGCAGGCAUUAGCUUGAAUACAUUGGCAUGGAAUAAUAAGAUAGGACUUUGGUACUAUUUUGUUGGUUUGCAUACCAAAUUAAUGAUCAACAGGAACAGUUUGAGGAUAUUCGUAUGAACAUGUCAGAGGUGAAAUUCUUGGAUUUUGAUCAGACGAACUACUGCGAAAGCAUUUAUCAAGGAUGUUUUCAUUAA
Molecule: ribosomal RNA, 383 nt
Filed under: uncultured eukaryote
Lineage: Eukaryota
Description: partial 18S ribosomal RNA
Rfam family: Eukaryotic small subunit ribosomal RNA
Source: RNAcentral